CGGUUAUACGAGAGGCCCUAGUUGAUGGUAUUGCGGCGUAAAGGGUGGUUAGGGGCUGUAACCUAAUAAAGCUGAAUAGCCCUCCGGCCGUCAUACGCUUCCAGGCGCUAGAAACCCAAUUAAACGAAAGUAGCUUUAAUAAAAUUCACCUGACCCCACGAGAGCUAAGAAACAAACUGGGAUUAGAUACCCCACUAUGCUUAGCCUUAAACCCAGACAUUUAAAUACAACACAUGUCCGCCAGGGUACUACGAGCAUUAGCUUAAAACCCAAAGGACCUGACGGUGCCUCAGACCCCCCUAGAGGAGCCUGUUCUAGAACCGAUAACCCCCGUUAAACCUCACCACUUCUAGUCACCCCAGCCUAUAUACCGCCGUCGCCAGCUUACCCUGUGAAGGCAAUAAGAGUAAGCAAAAUGGGCAUAACCCAGAACGUCAGGUCGAGGUGUAGCGCACGAAGUGGGAAGAAAUGGGCUACAUUUUCUGCUACAGAACACUACGAAUACGCAACAUGAAAUAGUGCUUGAAGGAGGAUUUAGUAGUAAAAAGGAAAGAGAGUGUCCUUUUGAACCCGGCUCUGAGACGCGUACACACCGCCCGUCACUCUCCCCUGUCAAAAUGCAAUUAAAUAUUCCUAAUGCUAGAGCACUGACAAGGGGAGGCAAGUCGUAACAUGGUAAGUGUACCGGAAGGUGUACUUGG
Molecule: ribosomal RNA, 701 nt
Filed under: Rhodeus ocellatus ocellatus (rosy bitterling)
Lineage: Eukaryota; Metazoa; Chordata; Actinopteri; Cypriniformes; Acheilognathidae
Description: partial 12S ribosomal RNA
Rfam family: Bacterial small subunit ribosomal RNA
Source: RNAcentral